Long non-coding RNA from Mesocricetus auratus (golden hamster), 1596 nucleotides. RefSeq lists it as uncharacterized. The transcript is spliced from 3 exons. The record is from RefSeq and is a predicted model, not a curated record. NCBI's taxonomy places the organism in Eukaryota, Metazoa, Chordata, Mammalia, Rodentia, Cricetidae.
AUUCUAAGGAGACUCCAAAGAAAAUACCUAAUGUCAGCCAAGAUACUCCAACCCAAAGGCCGCCCAGGAUGAUGACUGGCAGUAUGGAUGGUGAUGACCUUGUGUCAACACUAAGACCCAGAUUUGCGGAACUUGAGGCCAUGAAGUGGUAGAAUGUUUUCACAGGGAGGGUAGUGGAAACCAGAAGUGGAAACUGAAGCCAGCCUGGAAGACUUGCAAGAAGACCAAGGAAGCACCAAGAAAGCGGCCCCCCUUCCUUGAGGAAGGCAACAGGAACAGGAACGCAGGACAAUGGAAGCUGUGAGGUCACCUGGUGUGAGCCAGAAGCUGAUGAGCACAGAUCUCUACUGUUCCAAUGCACAGAUGUGGAAACUGGGGCCUCAACAGAUGAAGCUGCAAAGACACAAAACCGAUAGUUGUGAGGGAAUUGACACUCGGAGCUUGUCUGGUUGUGUGUUUCACCAUGACGCUUUCCUGGUGUAGGAACAGGAUUAAAGUCAGGGGUCCUGAAGACUCCUGACAGUCCUGAUUUUCUGGGAUGCUGAGUUUUAUCUGCCUGAUAAGCCCUCGAUUUCGCUUGAUGUUUCAGUCCAGUAUUGACAUAUAUUCCUAUAGUGUGGGAAUUUCUGACUCUCUAAAGCAAUCAUGAGUGAACAUAUUACUCUCAAGAAACAGGCAGUGUUGUCCCUGGAAUUAUCAUUAGGCCUGCAGAAAAGGAGGCUCACAUUAAACACAGGUCUAGAAGGCUUUGCAGGUUACCCUUGUUUUCAUCUUUUGAGUGGACAUAGUGUAGCAUUGUCAAGAACAUUUGGGGAACAUCACCAUGUUGCAUAUUCUCCACAAAAUGUAUGCAUUUGUAUUAGAAUGUGUUGUCAUUCAUGAUCAGUACAUGGGGGAUUUUUAUUUGGCAUUAGUCUAAGAAUGAAAAUAAGUGCUAACCUUUGUGACACAAAAUACCUGUGUGCAUUUAAAUAACUGUACUUGGUUUAAUCCAUUUAACUAUUACAACAGUGCUAGGAGAUAUAUAAGAGUGUUUUCAGAGAGAGGAGUCCUGGACACAGAGAGGUAGGUAACUACUCCAAGAUCUCACAGCACGUAGCUUCAUAAGUGCAGGGAAUUUAUACAACCACUAUGCCACCCCAUUGCUGAUGAUGGAAGCUAGAGUUUCACAUGUACUUGGGUCUUGCUCUUUUUGUAAUAUAUACCCCUGUCUCCUGAAAUUUUCUUGUACAGGCUUUUGAUUUUGUCAUUUCCUUAUCUCUCUUUGUAAAUUAAAAAAUUUGAAAAUGCAGUUUACUUAUCCAGCUAGUACACUCAAAAUCUCUGAUUCCCAGAUUCUGUGAGAAUUCAUAUUUCAAAAUUUAGUGGCUUAAGAGUGAGGCAGAUUCCUGAUGUUUACCUCUGACCUCCAGCAUCACUUGUGAGUACAUAUAUGAGUGUUAUACACAUGAAUACACAUAUGCAACUCAGACACAAUAUUUAUUGCACAGGACUUUCUUUUGAAGGAGAUUUAACAUGGCCUUUUUUCACUAAAUAAUUUAAAGAUGGGCUUUUAGACCUCUGAAGGUCUACAUUUUACAGAAUGGAAACUAUAUA